RNAcentral lists this ribosomal RNA (253 nucleotides) under uncultured bacterium. RNAcentral describes it as "partial 16S ribosomal RNA". It matches the Rfam family "Bacterial small subunit ribosomal RNA", at positions 524 to 776 of the family's 1533-position model. The record is from RNAcentral.
UACAGAGGGUGCGAGCGUUAAUCGGAAUUACUGGGCGUAAAGCGUGCGUAGACGGUUAUCUAAGUCGGGUGUGAAAGCCCCGGGCUCAACCUGGGAAUUGCAUUCGAGACUGAAUAGCUAGGGUACGGUAGAGGGAAGUGGAAUUUCCGGUGUAGCGGUGAAAUGCGUAGAUAUCGGGAGGAACACCAGUGGCGAAGGCGACUACCUGGCCUGUUCUUGACGCUGAGGCGCGAAAGCUAGGGGAGCAAACGGG